Molecule: long non-coding RNA, 538 nt
Filed under: Monodelphis domestica (gray short-tailed opossum)
Lineage: Eukaryota; Metazoa; Chordata; Mammalia; Didelphimorphia; Didelphidae
Description: lncRNA (ENSMODG00000045307.1)
Source: RNAcentral
ACCCACCUUUUUCUGAUCUUUUGCAAUUCAAAUUCUCUCUCGUCUCCCUCUUUCCCAGAUAAUAAACUAUUGAAUAGAAGUUUUUCCAGUGUUUUCAUGCAAUACAAAAUCCCAUUUUUGUCAUGUCAUGAAAGAAGACAUAUAUCACACAUGCAAGAAAAAAACAUGAAAGAAAUAAGAGUUUAAUGAAGAGAUAUUGUUUAUAAUCAGCCUCCUUCAAGUUUUGAAAUCACAUUCUCCAUUGGUGUUUCUCCUGGCUGCUGUGUCAUUCCACUUGUCCAAGAAAUAAAGAAUCUUCUUCUUGAUUCAGGACAUUUCUCACUUGACCUCUACGUACCUUGGACUAUUGAGAUCUGCACUGGUCACAGGUUAAGGACAUUCCUAUUCUGGCUUUUCCCAGGAACCUUAUGAGGUGGGACCUAAUGCUCAUUUUUCAACUGAGGAAACUGAGGUGGAAAGAGGUCAAGUAACUCAUCCAGAGUCACCCAGCUAGUAAGCGUCUGAGGUAAGAUUUGUACUCCCAUUUUCCUGAUUGUAG